AUAGAUACCCUGGUAGUCCACGCCGUAAACGUUGGGCGCUAGAUGUGGGGACCAUUCCACGGUUUCCGCGUCGUAGCUAACGCAUUAAGCGCCCCGCCUGGGGAGUACGGCCGCAAGGCUAAAACUCAAAGGAAUUGACGGGGGCCCGCACAAGCGGCGGAGCAUGCGGAUUAAUUCGAUGCAACGCGAAGAACCUUACCAAGGCUUGACAUAUGCGAGAACGCUCUAGAAAUAGAGAACUCUUUGGACACUCGUAUACAGGUGGUGCAUGGUUGUCGUCAGCUCGUGUCGUGAGAUGUUGGGUUAAGUCCCGCAACGAGCGCAACCCUCGUCGCAUGUUGCCAGCACGUAAUGGUGGGAACUCAUGUGAGACUGCCGGGGUCAACUCGGAGGAAGGUGGGGAUGACGUCAAAUCAUCAUGCCCCUUAUGUCUUGGGCUUCACGCAUGCUACAAUGGCCGGUACAAAGGGCUGCGAAACCGCAAGGUGGAGCGAAUCCCAAAAAGCCGGUCUCAGUUCGGAUUGAGGU
Molecule: ribosomal RNA, 528 nt
Filed under: uncultured bacterium
Lineage: Bacteria
Description: bacterial SSU rRNA
Rfam family: Bacterial small subunit ribosomal RNA
Source: RNAcentral